GCCGAAGUGGUGGAAUUGGUAGACACGUCGGUCUCAAAAACCGAUGCUCUCUGAGCGUGCCGGUUCGAUUCCGGCCUUCGGUACCA
RNAcentral lists this transfer RNA (86 nucleotides) under Desulfobacterales bacterium. RNAcentral describes it as "tRNA-Leu". It matches the Rfam family "tRNA". Rfam says of the family: Transfer RNA (tRNA) molecules are approximately 80 nucleotides in length. Lineage: Bacteria; Pseudomonadati; Thermodesulfobacteriota; Desulfobacteria; Desulfobacterales. RNAcentral also lists the same sequence under 1 other name. The record is from RNAcentral.